UACGUAGGGUGCAAGCGUUGUCCGGAAUUAUUGGGCGUAAAGAGCUCGUAGGCGGUUUGUCGCGUCUGCUGUGAAAACGCGAGGCUCAACCUCGCGCCUGCAGUGGGUACGGGCAGACUAGAGUGCGGUAGGGGAGAUUGGAAUUCCUGGUGUAGCGGUGGAAUGCGCAGAUAUCAGGAGGAACACCGAUGGCGAAGGCAGAUCCCUGGGCCGUAACUGACGCUGAGGAGCGAAAGCGUGGGGAGCGAACAGG
RNAcentral lists this ribosomal RNA (253 nucleotides) under uncultured bacterium. RNAcentral's name for it is "partial 16S ribosomal RNA". It matches the Rfam family "Bacterial small subunit ribosomal RNA", at positions 524 to 776 of the family's 1533-position model. The record is from RNAcentral.